Molecule: ribosomal RNA, 941 nt
Filed under: Vanderbylia sp.
Lineage: Eukaryota; Fungi; Basidiomycota; Agaricomycetes; Polyporales; Polyporaceae
Description: partial large subunit ribosomal RNA
Rfam family: Eukaryotic large subunit ribosomal RNA
Source: RNAcentral
UAGCAUAUCAAUAAGCGGAGGAAAAGAAACUAACAAGGAUUCCCAUAGUAACUGCGAGUGAAGCGGGAAAAGCUCAAAUUUAAAAUCUGGCGGUCUUUGGCCGUCCGAGUUGUAGUCUGGAGAAGUGCUUUCCGCGCUGGACCGUGUAUAAGUCUCUUGGAACAGAGCGUCAUAGAGGGUGAGAAUCCCGUCUCUGACACGGACUACCAGUGCUUUGCGAUGCGCUCUCAAAGAGUCGAGUUGUUUGGGAAUGCAGCUCAAAAUGGGUGGUGAAUUCCAUCUAAAGCUAAAUAUUGGCGAGAGACCGAUAGCGAACAAGUACCGUGAGGGAAAGAUGAAAAGCACUUUGGAAAGAGAGUUAAACAGUACGUGAAAUUGCUGAAAGGGAAACGCUUGAAGUCAGUCGUGUCGUCCAGAACUCAGCCUUGCUCUCGCUUGGUGCAUUUUCUGGACGACGGGCCAGCAUCGAUUUUGACCGUCGGAAAAGGGCUGGGGUAAUGUGGCACCUCCGGGUGUGUUAUAGACUCCAGUCGCAUACGACGGUCGGGAUCGAGGUUUCGCAGCGCGCCGCAAGGCAGGGGUUCGCCCACUUUCGCGCUUAGGAUGCUGGCAUAAUGGCUUUAAACGACCCGUCUUGAAACACGGACCAAGGAGUCUAACAUACCUGCGAGUGUUUGGGUGGAAAACCCGAGCGCGUAAUGAAAGUGAAAGUUGGGACCUCUGUCGUGGAGGGCACCGACGCCCGGACCUGACGUUCUCUGACGGAUCCGCGGUAGAGCAUGUAUGUUGGGACCCGAAAGAUGGUGAACUAUGCCUGAAUAGGGUGAAGCCAGAGGAAACUCUGGUGGAGGCUCGUAGCGAUUCUGACGUGCAAAUCGAUCGUCAAAUUUGGGUAUAGGGGCGAAAGACUAAUCGAACCAUCUAGUAGCUGGUUCCUGCCG